UCCAUGUGGAUCCUGUGUCUGUACAGAAAGAAUUGGCCACAAUCUUUCCAAAAAGGUUUGGCAUUAAAAAAAGAGAGUUUUUUUUUUUUUUUUUUUUUUUUUUUUUUUUUAGGAUGGAAUUUCUUACUCUUGUUGGCCAGGAUGGAGUGCAAAUGGCAUGAUCUCGGCUCACCUCAACUUCUGCCUCCUGGGUUCAAGCGAUUCUCCUGCCUCAGUCUCCCGAGUAACUGGGAUUACAGGCAACUUCUGCAGCCACAUUAUCCUUCAGUGACCAGCAACAGUGAUCAGUCAACAGCCAUCAACAUCGAGGGAAGAACCUUCACCAUCAAAAAGAUUGCAACUUUCUGAAGGUUCAGAUCAUCAUUACCAUUUUUAAGUAAUGAACUAUUUUAAAAGUAAAGGUUAUACCUUUUUAAACGCAAUGCUAUUGUACACUUAGUAGACUAUAGUGUGGUGUAAAUAUAACUUAUAUGCACUGGGAAACCAAAAAAUGUGAAUGACCCUCUUUAUUGUGAUAGUCUGUCACUAAACCCACAGUAUCUCUAAACCAUGC
Long non-coding RNA from Callithrix jacchus (white-tufted-ear marmoset), 553 nucleotides. The record is from Ensembl. Lineage: Eukaryota; Metazoa; Chordata; Mammalia; Primates; Cebidae.